Long non-coding RNA from Onychostoma macrolepis, 1371 nucleotides. RefSeq lists it as uncharacterized. Lineage: Eukaryota; Metazoa; Chordata; Actinopteri; Cypriniformes; Cyprinidae. The transcript has 6 exons. The record is from RefSeq and is a predicted model, not a curated record.
CAACAAGCCGACCAGAGCAUGACACUGAUUGCAGGGAACAGACAAAUAUACGUGCCAGGAAGGAGAUCCCAGAAUUCCAGUUGAAAACCAACUAAAUCCACUAGUAUACAUGUUUUAAUAUUGGGAACAUAUGGUUUAAAUAUGAAAUAUCAUAUUUAGCCUUGAGCAAAGUAUAAAGUCAUAUUGGAUUGGUUAUAAAUGUGAUUAUAAAUAUUAAAACAUUUGACUAUAACAUUUUUCUUUGUCUUAUGUUUUAGUUGCAACAGUUAGUUGAUAUUUUUUGUAACAGAACAAAAUAUAUUAAAAUGUAAAGUAGCUUGUGAUCAAAUUAUUCUUUUUUGUUGUUGUUUGUUUGUAACCUAAAACAUUCCAAUCCUCAUGCAGUAGUUGGUGAAUUGUUGCCUUUCUCAGCUAUCCCACAUUGCUGGACAGAAGGUAAUAUGGGUAUGAUUAACAAACCUGUUUAACAAUAACAAAUAAUGAGAAUACAUGAUGCUUGUGCUUUAAGUAGUUUUUUUUUUUUUAUCUAGUGCCAGGAUGUUCAUGUUGUCAAAGCAUAUGUAGUGGCCACUUGACAUGCACCUCUAAACUGUGAUCCAUUUCUGUCCCUACCUGCUGAUGCAUCCUCAAAAGACUGCAGCCUUUUCCUAAAUGCAAGUCAAGUCACUGAACCCUCUCAAUUGCAAUAAGGAUGAUGUAUUUUACAGUACAGUCAGUAUCUGUGGACUGCGGUGUAUUUAUGCUAGUGUUGUAAAAAAAAGUUAUCUCUUUGGAAGUAUGCUCUUUAUAUGGCGCCUAACUGGGAGUUUGACCUCACCCAGCAUGAUAUGGUCCAUAUAAGGAGUUGGUGGAUGAAUCUGCUCUUAUCCAAAAUGACACAUGCCAUGUCAGAAGAAUUCAAGGAGGAGACAACAGCAGAAAGUGUUACGGGAUGCUUUUGAUACUGUAUACACCAGGGGUGUCAAACUCAGUCCUGGAUGGCCGGAGCCCUGUGUAAGGUUGAAAAUAAUCAAAGACUUCUGCUUUCCUGUCCCAAACCUAUCUUGAGUAACAAAAGGGCCAUUUGGCAUUCCUAAAGGCACAGGGGUGCUGAUAGUGAUCAAGGCCUGUAGGCCAACAUGUGUAUACAUCGGGGGUCUUCUAAUUGUCACACCUUUUGCCCAGUGUGUGAAGCUGUAAUCUGCUGAUUGGUCAGUUUGAAUGUCUCACAUUUGGGUUUUAGUCACAUGGUCAAGGAAGGGAUAAAAGGAGAUUGCAACUGUUGCUCUCUCUCUCUUUUCUUUGUUGCCUCUUUUCUUAGCUGGAGCUCUCUUCUUGGGGCUCUGCCCUCUCUCCCUCUUUUUCUUCCUCUCUACCCCACCCCCCACCCCC